CAGCAGCCGCGGGAAUACGAAGGGGGCUAGCGUUGUUCGGAUUUACUGGGCGUAAAGCGCACGUAGGCGGAUUCUUAAGUCAGAGGUGAAAUCCCAAGGCUCAACCUUGGAACUGCCUUUGAUACUGGGGAUCUUGAGUCCGGGAGAGGUGAGUGGAACUGCGAGUGUAGAGGUGAAAUUCGUAGAUAUUCGCAAGAACACCAGUGGCGAAGGCGGCUCACUGGCCCGGAACUGACGCUGAGGUGCGAAAGCGUGGGGAGCAAACAGGAUUAGAUACCCGAGUAGUCCCUGUCUCUUAUAC
RNAcentral lists this ribosomal RNA (301 nucleotides) under uncultured bacterium. RNAcentral describes it as "partial 16S ribosomal RNA". It matches the Rfam family "Bacterial small subunit ribosomal RNA", at positions 509 to 807 of the family's 1533-position model. The record is from RNAcentral.